RNAcentral lists this ribosomal RNA (520 nucleotides) under uncultured Glomus. Its description in RNAcentral is "SSU rRNA". It matches the Rfam family "Eukaryotic small subunit ribosomal RNA", at positions 569 to 1089 of the family's 1831-position model. Lineage: Eukaryota; Fungi; Glomeromycota; Glomeromycetes; Glomerales; Glomeraceae. The record is from RNAcentral.
AGCAGCCGCGGUAAUUCCAGCUCCAAUAGCGUAUAUUAAAGUUGUUGCAGUUAAAAAGCUCGUAGUUGAAUUUCGGGGUCAGUAGUUUGGUCGUGCCAACGGUAUGUACUGGGCUCACUGAUUCCUCCUUCCUGAUGAACUGUAAUGCCAUUAAUUUGGUGUUGCAGGGAAACUGGACUGUUACUUUGAAAAAAUUAGAGUGUUUAAAGCAAGCUAACGCUUGAAUACAUUAGCAUGGAAUAAUGAAAUAGGACGUUCGAUCCUAUUUUGUUGGUUUCUAGGAUUGACGUAAUGAUUAAUAGGGAUAGUUGGGGGCAUUAGUAUUCAAUUGUCAGGGGUGAAAUUCUUGGAUUUAUUGAAGACUAACUACUGCGAAAGCAUUUGCCAAGGAUGUUUUCAUUAAUUCAAGAACGAAAGUUAGGGGAUCGAAGACGAUCAGAUACCGUCGUAGUCUUAACCAUAAACCUAUGCCGACUAGGGAUCGGAUGAUGUUAAUUUUUAAUGACUCAUUCGGCGCCUU